This 945-nucleotide long non-coding RNA is filed under the name Pan troglodytes (chimpanzee). RNAcentral describes it as "lincRNA". The record is from RNAcentral. Lineage: Eukaryota; Metazoa; Chordata; Mammalia; Primates; Hominidae.
ACCGCAACCUGUUUUAUCAGCAAUGUCUUUAUAACCUGUAUUUUGUGCUGACCUUCUAUCUCAUCCUGUGACUUAGAAUGCCUUAACAACUGUCUGGAAUGCAGCCCGAUCUGUGGAGUGGCUGCAGCACCUGUGUUUCAGCCUGAAGAAUGGGCACAGAUAUUUCAUGAUUCUGAAGAAGAAUUGGAGGUGAGACUUGAGAAAAUGGAGAAAAAGAUAUGCUUUGGAUUUUCUUGAAGAUUAGAAGCUUUCUUAACCAUCCACCACCUUGUUGAUUGGUUAUUAUUCUCUCUACCUUCUGUGAAACAAACUGAUGGAUACUAAUGGCACAAUUACACUUAUAGCUAGUCAGUUGCAUAGUUUAUGCACAUAGUUCUGCUUCCAGUGUUUAGUAAUGAGUUAAACAUUUUGGCUAUAUUUGUCUCUGAAGCUAUAAUUUAAUUAAUCAUUAUGUAUAGCAAUAAUAACAAGUAAAACAAAAAGAAGAGUUUUUGUUUUUAUGGUAAUUAUGUUGGGUGCUUUGGAUCCUCCCAAUAAAGUUGACUUCCCUAAAAUAAUUACACUUGAAUUAGGUAUAGAGAAGUUAAUUGUAACAAAUUGAAAGUUACUGUAAAUCUUCUAAUCGUAGUUCUCUGCAAGUGUACUUAAGUUAUUGCUCCACUUGAAAUAAAUGAAAACUGGAAAUCUGAGGUGAUGAAUUAUGGGUCCCUUUUAUGUAAGAAAGAUGACAAGGAAAUCUAAUCUGCUGAGUUAUACUAAAAUAAAAUACCUUGGCCUGGGAUCAAAUAUAGGUGAAAGAAUGAACAUUUAUGUUUUUUAAUUAAGAUAAAAUGUACAAGUUUUAUGUACAUAUUUUAUGAUUUCCUGAUAUAACAAAAAGUAUUGAUAAAAGCACCCAAUACUGAUUCUAAUGACAUUUGAUUAGCAUUAGAGUUGCUAUUAUUA